UGGGGAAUAUUNCCNNUNUAGGGGGGAACCCUGACGCAGCCAUGCCGCGUGAAUGAAGAAGGCCUUAGGGUUGUAAAGUUCUUUCGGUAUUGAGGAAGGUUGAUGUGUUAAUAGCACAUCAAAUUGACGUUAAAUACAGAAGAAGCACCGGCUAACUCCGUGCCAGCAGCCGCGGUAAUACGGAGGGUGCGAGCGUUAAUCGGAAUAACUGGGCGUAAAGGGCACGCAGGCGGUUAUUUAAGUGAGGUGUGAAAGCCCCGGGCUUAACCUGGGAAUUGCAUUUCAGACUGGGUAACUAGAGUACUUUAGGGAGGGGUAGAAUUCCACGUGUAGCGGUGAAAUGCGUAGAGAUGUGGAGGAAUACCGAAGGCGAAGGCAGCCCCUUGGGAAUGUACUGACGCUCAUGUGCGAAAGCGUGGGGAGCAAACAGGAUUAGAUACCCUGGUAGUCCACGCUGUAAACGCUGUCGAUUUGGGGGUUGGGGUUUAACUCUGGCGCCCGUAGCUAACGUGAUAAAUCGACCGCCUGGGGAGUACGGCCGCAAGGUUA
Molecule: ribosomal RNA, 549 nt
Filed under: uncultured bacterium
Lineage: Bacteria
Description: bacterial SSU rRNA
Rfam family: Bacterial small subunit ribosomal RNA
Source: RNAcentral